Molecule: unclassified non-coding RNA, 314 nt
Filed under: uncultured fungus
Lineage: Eukaryota; Fungi
Description: partial contains 5.8S ribosomal RNA and internal transcribed spacer 2
Rfam family: 5.8S ribosomal RNA (bases 1-133)
Source: RNAcentral
UGGUUCUGGCAUCGAUGAAGAACGCAGCGAAAUGCGAUAAGUAAUGCGAAUUGCAGAAUUCCGUGAGUCAUCGAAUCUUUGAACGCACAUUGCGCCCUUUGGCAUUCCGAGGGGCAUGCCUGUUCGAGCGUCAUGAUCACCUCUCAAGCCAGGCUUGACGUUGGGCCUGAUCGUUAAAGAUCGGCCCUAAAGAUAACGGCGAUGCCGUGACCAAGACGAAAAACGCAACGAGUUCGCGUUUCGUUGAGGGGUCGGCCUCCGCUUAACCGUACAUUCUAGAAAUUGACCUCGGAUCAGGUAGGGAUACCCGCUGA